RNAcentral lists this long non-coding RNA (868 nucleotides) under Olea europaea (common olive). RNAcentral describes it as "long non-coding RNA (OEUR_LNC000122)". Lineage: Eukaryota; Viridiplantae; Streptophyta; Magnoliopsida; Lamiales; Oleaceae. The record is from RNAcentral.
UAAAAUUAAAAAAAUUCUCUUCAAAAAUUUCCUUACAUCAGCAAGAAAUAUAAAUAUUACAUAACUAAUUAUAUGUGCAAUAUAAUUAUGAGACGAAUAAAGCCAAACGACCGGCGAGAAUGACCGCACCGAUGACCUCGCACUCAUAUGGAUGCUUGUCCCGUGUGAAUAAAAUAAUGCUCGACUCCCCAUCUGUAUAUAUACGAUCAUUCCCGAUAUCAAACUCGUUGUUCGUGUAACAUGAUUGUUAUAAGACCAUGUGCGGUCCCACCACAUGCACACCCUCCAAAUCAGUUGUGAUUGACAUGAGAUUACAUUGUCCUUGUAAUAGUCUCAUUCUUUAAAUAAAAAAAAAAAAAAAAAAAAAAAACAUUCUUAUAUAAUAUUUUGACAUCAUUUUAACUAUGAAAUCUUCAAUAAAAUAAUAUUAUAUAUAAAUUGAAAAAAAUUUCUUAUUUUUUAACUAUACAUUUCUCAUUGAUAUACUGUUCAAAAAUAACUUUUCCCCCAAUACAGGGCUCAAAGGAGGGCGAAUCCUUGACAAUGUUUUGUGAGAGUGAUUUCUUUGAACCUUUUGAAAAUGAGUUGUAUAAAUUUAGACCACUGAUCAAAUUUGGGACGGCUAGACACGUUGAGGAUCUCAUAACCCUCAAAUUGAACGGAUUGUUUUCAGAAUAUUAUUGGGGAAAAAAAAAAGAAGCAGCUAAAAUGUGAACUUAAUCUAGAGUAACUAGACGUUACAUAAAUGAAUAAGUUGUAUAAAUUUAGACCGACUGUUCAAAUUUGGAGCGAUCAGACACAUCUAGGCUCUUCCUUAACCCCCAAUUUGAACAGAUUGUUUUCAGAAAAUCAUUAAAGGAAUGCUAAA